Molecule: transfer RNA, 63 nt
Filed under: Coomaniella dentata
Lineage: Eukaryota; Metazoa; Arthropoda; Insecta; Coleoptera; Buprestidae
Description: tRNA-Ala
Source: RNAcentral
AGGAUAAAAGUUUCAAACAUUUAAUUUGCAUUUAAAAAAUAUCAGUUUAACUGAUUUAUCUUA